RNAcentral lists this long non-coding RNA (342 nucleotides) under Gallus gallus (chicken). The record is from RNAcentral. Lineage: Eukaryota; Metazoa; Chordata; Aves; Galliformes; Phasianidae.
GGGUGAGAAAGCCUCUCAGUUACCAAGUGUAAAAGCCAGGCUGCAGCAGCAGAUGAGCAACCACGCCAGUCAUAACUGGUGCAGGGGAAGGAUCACUUACAAACUAUAUCAGCAGCUACGUGCUGACAAAACCAUACAGUGAAGGAAGCAGGAAUGUUCUGGGGACAGAUCUGAGCUGCCAUGGCAGCUCCCACGUGCUAAAGCUUUCCAGAACAUCAGUGGACAGUCAAAUAUCUCUAGGAGCCUUUCUCAUCUGCAGGAAGGGGUCCAGCUCAUUUCCGAGCGUGUGAGAUCGGCGAAGCGGGGGCGGGGCCCUCAGGUACCGCACGCACCCCACGCGCC